GAUGAAGAACGUAGCGAAAUGCGAUAAGUAGUGUGAAUUGCAGAAUUCAGUGAAUCAUCGAAUCUUUGAACGCACAUUGCGCCCCUUGGUAUUCCAUGGGGCAUGCCUGUUCGAGCGUCAUUUGUACCCUCAAGCUUUGCUUGGUGUUGGGCGUCUUGUCGUAUUACGACUCGCCUUAAAUACAUUGGCAGCCGGCACUUUGGCCUAGGAGCGCAGCACAUUUUGCGAUCGUAGCCCGUUGUACUGGCGUCCAUCAAGAACAUUUACCACGUUUGACCUCGCAUCAGGUAGGGAUACCCGCUGAACUUAAGCAUAUCAAUAAGCGGAGGA
RNAcentral lists this unclassified non-coding RNA (330 nucleotides) under soil metagenome. Its description in RNAcentral is "partial contains 5.8S ribosomal RNA, internal transcribed spacer 2, and large subunit ribosomal RNA". The stretch from base 1 to 120 matches the Rfam family "5.8S ribosomal RNA", at positions 35 to 154 of the family's 154-position model. The record is from RNAcentral.